GCGGGCGCUAACGUGACAGCGCUUCCGGUUCGGGUGCCGGCGGUGCCGCCGCUCCCUCGGCGGGCGGAGUGUGGGGCUCGGGCACCCGGCGGCAUCGGGGCGGGCGCUGGGGCCGCGCGGCGCUGCCGCUGCUGCUCCGGGCUGCUGCCGGGGCUCCCGUGCCGCCGGCCGUGCGCGGGAGGGCGGUGCGGGGAUUUCCCCGCGCUGAGGGGAACCGGCCCCGGCGCCUCCCGAACCCGCCGCUCCGGCGCUGACAGGGAGUUUGUGAUAAAUGAAAAAGAUGCCUUGUAUUCUCGGAGUGGUGCAUUCUACCUCUGCUGUUUUUCCUGCUAGUCUGGAUCCUCUGCUUAGAUUUUUUUCUUCAUAUUUUAGGUGCCCUGGCUGUGGUGGAUGUCCCGAUCGAGGGCAGUGAUGGCUUUCAUGAAGAAAUCUUUAAAUGAAGACGGGAUUACCCAAACCUUUCCCUUCCCUGCUGCACUAGAAGCCAGGAAUAUCCUGUUGCUUCAGUCUGAAAACGGAACAGUUUAAAAAUCACGAGGAGGUGAGCAAAGAACCUGCUGUGCCCCUGGAUUCUGCAUUUACCACUUUGCUAAAGAGAGCCUAUGAGAGAGGAAGCAAUACCCUACUGGAAGGUGGUGUUCAGACAAAAUUGGCUUCCUGGCUCCCACCUGACCAGCUUUUGUUGGGAGUAAAGCAUGUGCUGUUAUACCUGAAAUCCACAGUGGAGAACUUCAGCAGGCUUGGUAAAACUUUGGGUCCUCAGCUUGUUGAUCUCUGUGUGGACCUGCUGAGCAUCUUGUUGUGCCGGGACAAUGAAAUAAAGCUGGAGCAGCAGCAGAAGCAGGAGGAGCAUCAGGCUGAUGGGAUCUCUUCAUGGAUGAGGAGCCUCUGAUGACAGAAGUGUCUUCAAAUGACAAGACCCUGGAGGAUGCACUCACCUUGAUUUUCAGACAUCCUGCACUGGAGAGCUGGUUCCUGGCGUUGGAGCUGCGCUCUAUUCCUCAGCCUGGUCUGAACCCUGUCACUGUGAAGCUCCUGUCAGCUCACCUCCAUUCUGGGGUGCUCCAGCUGCUGAAAACGAGAGAUCACAGACACGUCUUGUCCAAGUAUUUCAAAGCCAUCACCAAAAGUGUCCUGGAAGAGCUGCAGACUGGGGGGAAGGACCAAAGCCAGGUCUAUCCCAGGAAGUCUCACCAGCUGCAGGCUCUGGAGGAGCUGCACAUGUACAUGACUGCAGCUCAGCUGAAGGAGAUCACUUUAACCAUGCUGCAACUUCCUGAGAUGGGCUUGGCUUCUCAGAAAUCUGAAAAAUCCCCUAAAACAGGGAAGCAGUUAAGCUUCUAUGGAGAAAUUUUGGUGCAGCUCUUUACAGACAGCUACCAAAGAGCUUUACAGACAGCUACCCUAACCCCUAAUCCUAACCCCUGACCCCUAACCCUAAACCCCUAACCCUAACCCCUUAACCCCCUAACCCUGCCCCACUUCUCCACAGCCCGGUCUCUUGCUAAUCUCUCCUCAUUUCUGGUCAAAAUUAUGAUCACACCAGUGCCAGUAUGGUGCAGGGUCCAUUGUGACACUGUGUUACCUGUAGGUAAAGCUUUAUAAAGUAAGGGCCUUGACACCCUUGUAAAAUCAUGGCUCAGGCCUGUUACUUUGACUAAGUAGAAGAGGACUAUGGGCAAGUGUUCCAGCUGAAUUAGAGGAAGAAAAACAAGUUAUAUGACCAUUAUGUGUUCACAUCGUGGUUUAUGGUGGUUAGUUGAAUUAUAUUUGUUGUGCCUAAAUGGAAUGCAACUGAUAAUGGCCUAACUGCUUUAAAAGGCCUGGUUUUUGCAAUAAAGGUCUCUCUCUUGCAUCUGC
Molecule: RNA transcript, 1860 nt
Organism: Oenanthe melanoleuca
Lineage: Eukaryota; Metazoa; Chordata; Aves; Passeriformes; Muscicapidae
Gene name: nucleolar pre-ribosomal-associated protein 1-like
Exons: 4
Source: RefSeq, a predicted model, not a curated record